Molecule: non-coding RNA, 148 nt
Filed under: Nomascus leucogenys (northern white-cheeked gibbon)
Lineage: Eukaryota; Metazoa; Chordata; Mammalia; Primates; Hylobatidae
Source: Rfam by way of RNAcentral
GCCAGGCGUGGUGGCGGAUGCCUGUAAUCCCAGCUACUCGGGAGGCUGAGGCAGGAGAAUCCCUUGAGCUCAGGAGGUGGAGGUUGCAGUGAGCCAAGAUGGCACCACUGCACUCCAGCCUGGGCGACAGAGUGAGAUGCUGUCUCAA